UCGAUCUGUGCUGAUGGCUCCAUUAUAUCCACUGACACUGGAAAAAGUUUCCUUUCAGAAUCCUGUCCCGUUUCCCCCGCAGGGUUAGAGCUCCGGUGACAAGUCAACUAAUGGAGUCGUCUCUGUUAAUGGAAGAAGAAGUUUAGCAGCUUGCCGAACAACUCGAGCUGCAGAGCUUGGAACUGAAUCAUCUUCCGGAUUAGCUUCAUCAGCAACAUCUAUGAGCCAUAAUCAAUAUCAGAGGGCAAGGCGAGGUUACGAAAAAUGAGCUCCUGGAAUACAGUCAACGCAAAUCAGCUUCAGGAGGCCAGACAUUUAAGAAGAUGGAUGACAUCAUGAUACCCAGGUCAUCGGCGUUGAAUCUUGGUUUUGAAGUUUUGUUUUUUUCAAUAACUGGAUGAGAUUGUCAGAAAGUUCCAAAUACCUGGUGUUCCAAGAAGAGAGGAUGGAUGUUAAACCUACUUCUCUUUCAAAGAGGACUCUAAUAAGCACUCAGUUUGCAGACUACAUGCUGCCAAGACCGUGAAAACGGGAGGUCGUUUCCUUAGGAACAACACACAGUCAGGUCCAGCGCGGUAGCCGAAAUGCUGGAAGGACCCCAAGUUGUUUGUCUUUCUUCUAAAGCAUUCACUAAAAUUAGAUCAAGGGAAAAAAGACCCCGUGCUUUGUUUUUUUGGCAAGAAUACGGCUAUUUUUGAUGUAUUUCUAGUUCCUUGAUUGUAAGUGCACCUGCUAAAGAGAAUACCUCAGCUGAAGCCCACAGAAAGUAUCCCGUGGCAACGAGAUGCGGGAAUGACAUAGUCGAGCAUGGAAACCUAAGGGGAGGGUGUUCAUUCUCUCUUCCUGAAUUUGGAGGUCUGAACGAUGGCGACGAGGAGAAGAAGUGAAUCCCUUGCAGUCCCGUAUCACCUCCGUGUGGCCCAAGCUAAUGUGGGGAAAUGGGCCCCACCCUUCUUUGGCUAAGAAAAAUAAGAGAUUGAAUGGGAAACUCAUCUCACCGCAAGUACCCAAAAUAAGUCUGUGGCCCAGGCGAGAAGGAAUUGAAAAAGGCAAGAGGGAAUCGAAAAGGAAGCAAAAGCCUCUCUUUUUUUAUGGCAUCCGUUAAGCGCUUACU
Ornithorhynchus anatinus (platypus) is the source of this 1114-nucleotide long non-coding RNA. RefSeq lists it as uncharacterized. The transcript has 3 exons. NCBI's taxonomy places the organism in Eukaryota, Metazoa, Chordata, Mammalia, Monotremata, Ornithorhynchidae. The record is from RefSeq and is a predicted model, not a curated record.